This 680-nucleotide ribosomal RNA is filed under the name uncultured endomycorrhiza of Neottia nidus-avis. RNAcentral's name for it is "eukaryotic LSU rRNA". It matches the Rfam family "Eukaryotic large subunit ribosomal RNA", at positions 1 to 664 of the family's 3401-position model. Lineage: Eukaryota; Fungi; Basidiomycota; Agaricomycetes; Sebacinales; Sebacinaceae. The record is from RNAcentral.
CUUGACCUCAAAUCGAGUAGGACUACCCGCUGAACUUAAGCAUAUCAAUAAGCGGAGGAAAAGAAACUAACAAGGAUUCCCCUAGUAACGGCGAGUGAAGAGGGAAGAGCUCAAAUUUUGAAUCUGGCGUCUUUGGCGUCCGAAUUGUAAUCUAGAGAAGUGUUUUCCGUGGCGGACCGUGCAUAAGUCUCCUGGAAUGGAGCGUCAUGGAGGGUGAGAAUCCCGUAUAUGGCACGGACUCCCGUUGCUCUGUGAUACACUCUCAACGAGUCGAGUUGUUUGGGAAUGCAGCUCUAAACGGGUGGUAAAUGCCAUCUAAAGCUAAAUAUUGGCGAGAGACCGAUAGCGAACAAGUACCGUGAGGGAAAGAUGAAAAGCACUUUGGAAAGAGAGUGAAACAGUACGUGAAAUUGUUGAAAGGGAAACGCUUGAAGUCAGUCGCGCCGUUCGGGAUUCAGCCUUGCUUUUGCUCGGUUUACUUCCCGUUGGGUGGGUCAACAUCAGUUUUGGUCGGAGGAGAAAGGCUUGGGGAAGGUGGCAGCAUUCGUGCUGUGUUAUAGCCCCUUGUUGUAUACUUCGACUGGGACUGAGGACCGCAGCACGCCUCUGGCCGGGGUUCGCCCACGUACGUGCUUAGGAUGUUGGCAUAAUGGCUUUAAGCGACCCGUCUUGAAACACGG